This 768-nucleotide ribosomal RNA is filed under the name Escherichia coli. RNAcentral's name for it is "partial 23S ribosomal RNA". It matches the Rfam family "Bacterial large subunit ribosomal RNA", at positions 124 to 934 of the family's 2925-position model. Lineage: Bacteria; Pseudomonadati; Pseudomonadota; Gammaproteobacteria; Enterobacterales; Enterobacteriaceae. The record is from RNAcentral.
AAACCCAGUGUGAUUCGUCACACUAUCAUUAACUGAAUCCAUAGGUUAAUGAGGCGAACCGGGGGAACUGAAACAUCUAAGUACCCCGAGGAAAAGAAAUCAACCGAGAUUCCCCCAGUAGCGGCGAGCGAACGGGGAGCAGCCCAGAGCCUGAAUCAGUGUGUGUGUUAGUGGAAGCGUCUGGAAAGGCGCGCGAUACAGGGUGACAGCCCCGUACACAAAAAUGCACAUGCUGUGAGCUCGAUGAGUAGGGCGGGACACGUGGUAUCCUGUCUGAAUAUGGGGGGACCAUCCUCCAAGGCUAAAUACUCCUGACUGACCGAUAGUGAACCAGUACCGUGAGGGAAAGGCGAAAAGAACCCCGGCGAGGGGAGUGAAAAAGAACCUGAAACCGUGUACGUACAAGCAGUGGGAGCACGCUUAGGCGUGUGACUGCGUACCUUUUGUAUAAUGGGUCAGCGACUUAUAUUCUGUAGCAAGGUUAACCGAAUAGGGGAGCCGAAGGGAAACCGAGUCUUAACUGGGCGUUAAGUUGCAGGGUAUAGACCCGAAACCCGGUGAUCUAGCCAUGGGCAGGUUGAAGGUUGGGUAACACUAACUGGAGGACCGAACCGACUAAUGUUGAAAAAUUAGCGGAUGACUUGUGGCUGGGGGUGAAAGGCCAAUCAAACCGGGAGAUAGCUGGUUCUCCCCGAAAGCUAUUUAGGUAGCGCCUCGUGAAUUCAUCUCCGGGGGUAGAGCACUGUUUCGGCAAGGGGGUCAUCCCGA